This is a long non-coding RNA of Cyclopterus lumpus (lumpfish), 493 nucleotides long. RefSeq lists it as uncharacterized. The record is from RefSeq and is a predicted model, not a curated record. Lineage: Eukaryota; Metazoa; Chordata; Actinopteri; Perciformes; Cyclopteridae. The transcript has 2 exons.
GUUUAAGACGCUGCUAUUUCUGUAGGUAAUCUCAUGCCGUAACUUCUAAAGUACAGAUAGCAGAACCGUUAACUCGGCCCGUUUGGGUAAAAUUAAGGUUGUUUAAGGUUGUAGCUUGUUGUCGAUAUCACUACGGUUACAGAGAGGUGUCGUUUGUGUUUUACACCGUUUCGCGAAAGAGUUAUUGAGCCGGAAGUCCGAAUCUGUGAAUAUCUUUCCAACUUUACCGAACUCCCUCAACACAUCAUUUGAAUACUCUGAAACGACGUUAUACUUUUAUCCUCGCGCUACAAAAUAUUUAACCGUAGUAGCACAAAUGCUAUGUGUAAAAUAAGUUAAGAUAUGUGUGAUGUUGGCAGCCAAACGGAGAUGGAGGAUAAAGUGGAAGUCUUAGAGGACCACAAGUAGGAUGUUGAAUAAUUUGUGUUUAGGUAGUUACAGUGUUUGCUGUUUUAGUUAGUUUAAAAAAAAUAAAUUGUAUUGUUAAUUUGUU